GUUCGGGGUUGAGAUAGAUCACAAUAACGGUUAUAUCGUCGUGGAAAUGCCUUCUGACACCAGGAUGGAUCUCUUUUAGACAUGUAACCCGUUAGCUAUGGUCUAGGCAUUGAACUUACUUGGCGCGGAGAAUUAUGUACGAUAUCAACAGCUUCCUGGUUGCUAAGAUGCUCCCAAAGCCCAUCUGAACCAAGAAUCAUAAACUCGUCUUUUGAGGUUUUCACAUGUGUGAAUGUUUACCUGGAUGACGCCUUUCACACGCCACAUCCGAUGCUUCAUCACAAGAAUGUUG
Long non-coding RNA from Capsella rubella, 292 nucleotides. RefSeq lists it as uncharacterized. Lineage: Eukaryota; Viridiplantae; Streptophyta; Magnoliopsida; Brassicales; Brassicaceae. The record is from RefSeq and is a predicted model, not a curated record. The transcript has 3 exons.